This 106-nucleotide microRNA precursor is filed under the name Canis lupus familiaris (dog). RNAcentral's name for it is "mir-8834 microRNA precursor family". It matches the Rfam family "mir-8834 microRNA precursor family". The record is from Rfam by way of RNAcentral. Lineage: Eukaryota; Metazoa; Chordata; Mammalia; Carnivora; Canidae. RNAcentral also lists the same sequence under 1 other name.
AGGAGGAACAACCCCAGUGGUGGCGGCAGCUCUGGAGCCCUGGAUUCAGUUCCCCCAGUAACUCCGGAGCUCUCCGUCUGCAGGGGCCUGGAUGCUCUGGGGCGGG